AGACCUGCAAGCGGCUCACGACACAGAAGCCACUCAGACAGAAAAACAAGAGAAAGGGCAACAGAGAAGUGAGAGUCUGUGGACACUCUUGGCCCCUGCCUCCGUGCUCAAGGCAACAAACUGAUGGGCUCUGCACAGGGAUGGAAAACUCAGCUGCAGAGGGAACCGCUCUGCUGACUGCCAGUUACCAAACACUCGUUCCACCUGGACACAUUCAGGAGGCUCCGAUAACUUCCAUGACGGCGCAAGAUUUGAAACCAGACCUUGCGACUAUGGAGCGUUGAGUUUGUCUUCCUAAGCGAUGGGGCAUUGAGUACAACCUUCUGGACGGCAAUGCAGCAAGUGAAAGCGACUUCAUUCUACACUGGCCAUGAGAUGAUGGACGAGCAGCAGAUGCUAUCAAUUUAUGGAUUCUCUGAACUGAAACAGCCAAGCCUCUUAUUAAGGUGCGGACGGCUGGGAACCUGCCCUAGAAUCCUGUUUGCAUGUGGGAGGUUACUGGCAAGGUGCCAAGGACUUAACUCAUGUUCUGUUCUAUCCAUAUAGACAGUUUCAUCAAUAGUAACACCCAGACCCAUUCUCAAACACUGCUCAUGAGAGAUGAUGUGAGACCUGCUCCUUCAAUCAUGAUCCUGUGAGGAAGCAGGAAAGAUUAAACUGGGGCCAAAGAGGCAAAGGUAUCCUUGAAGAACUAUCUGGGAAAGAUAAAAGUUAGUUCAGAGAAAAUUACAGCCAGUAAUAUACUGCAGCAUUGUGAACCUUAAUACAUUUCUUUCCUCAGAGAUGACCGUAAACACUAUUCCCAAAGAUAACUGGAAAACAGAAAAAAAAAAUGGAGGAAAAAGUAUAGAUUUCUCAGACACUUUAAAUAUCCCUGGAUUAUUUUUUUGUUCUUCCAUCAACAGCAAUGACGACAAAAAGCAGUGAUUCUCUUACACAACUGAUUUGGCCCUCGUCUCAAAAGACAGAAUUGUGACCACUAUUCCAUAGAAUUCUUUAGUUACUUGUUAAUGGCGAAUCCCACAAGGGAAGAACUUUAACUUGCUUCUUCUGCAAGUCUAAUACUUUAGAAGGUGUACAGGAGACAGGAAGAACACAUUUCAUGAGCUGAGCUAGCCCAUGCUGUCCCAGUAUGGCCCAUGUUACUAACCACCUUAGUCAUUUUCCUGUCCUCAUCUGAGACACGUAUCAGCCAGACAUUCCCUUAAAAUCCUGUGCUGGCUGGUUUGUCAACUUGAUAUGAAACUAAAUGUAUCUGAGAAGUGGAACCUCAAUUGAAAAAAACACCUCUAAAAGACUG
Molecule: long non-coding RNA, 1300 nt
Filed under: Mus musculus (house mouse)
Lineage: Eukaryota; Metazoa; Chordata; Mammalia; Rodentia; Muridae
Description: predicted gene, 47471
Source: RNAcentral